CUCCCUGUAGCUCAGUGGUUAGAGCAUUCAACUGAUAUCCAGAAGGUCACAGGUUCAAAUCCUGUCAGGCAGA
Non-coding RNA from Actinia tenebrosa (Australian red waratah sea anemone), 73 nucleotides. Lineage: Eukaryota; Metazoa; Cnidaria; Anthozoa; Actiniaria; Actiniidae. The record is from the annotation of a RefSeq genome assembly.